This 1440-nucleotide ribosomal RNA is filed under the name uncultured bacterium. Its description in RNAcentral is "bacterial SSU rRNA". It matches the Rfam family "Bacterial small subunit ribosomal RNA". The record is from RNAcentral.
AGAGUUUGAUCCUGGCUCAGGACGAUUUCUGGCGGCGUGCCUAAUACAUGCAAGUCGAGCGAGCUUGCCUAGAUGAUUUUAGUGCUUGCACUAAAUGAAACUAGAUACAAGCGAGCGGCGGACGGGUGAGUAACACGUGGGUAACCUGCCCAAGAGACUGGGAUAACACCUGGAAACAGAUGCUAAUACCGGAUAACAACACUAGACGCAUGUCUAGAGUUUGAAAGAUGGUUCUGCUAUCACUCUUGGAUGGACCUGCGGUGCAUUAGCUAGUUGGUAAGGUAACGGCUUACCAAGGCAAUGAUGCAUAGCCGAGUUGAGAGACUGAUCGGCCACAUUGGGACUGAGACACGGCCCAAACUCCUACGGGAGGCAGCAGUAGGGAAUCUUCCACAAUGGACGAAAGUCUGAUGGAGCAACGCCGCGUGAGUGAAGAAGGGUUUCGGCUCGUAAAGCUCUGUUGGUAGUGAAGAAAGAUAGAGGUAGUAACUGGCCUUUAUUCGACGGUAAUUACUUAGAAAGUCACGGCUAACUACGUGCCAGCAGCCGCGGUAAUACGUAGGUGGCAAGCGUUGUCCGGAUUUAUUGGGCGUAAAGCGAGUGCAGGCGGUUCAAUAAGUCUGAUGUGAAAGCCUUCGGCUCAACCGGAGAAUUGCAUCAGAAACUGUUGAACUUGAGUGCAGAAGAGGAGAGUGGAACUCCAUGUGUAGCGGUGGAAUGCGUAGAUAUAUGGAAGAACACCAGUGGCGAAGGCGACUUUCUGGACUGUACCUGACGCUGAGGCGCGAAAGCGUGGGUAGCGAACGGGAUUAGAUACCCCGGUAGUCCACGCCGUAAACGAUGAAUACUAGGUGUAGGAGGUAUCGACUCCUUCUGUGCCGCAGCAAACGCAAUAAGUAUUCCGCCUGGGGACUACGGUCGCAAGACUAAAACUCAAAGGAAUUGACGGGGACCCGCACAAGCGGUGGAGCAUGUGGUUUAAUUCGACGCAACGCGAAGAACCUUACCAGGGCUUGACAUCCCUCGCUACCUGCGGAAACGUGGGGUUCUGCCAGUUUACUGGCGGACGAGGAGACAGGUGGUGCAUGGUUGUCGUCAGCUCGUGUCGUGAGAUGUUGGGUUAAGUCCCGCAACGAGCGCAACCCCUACGUCCAGUUGCCGGCACGUUAAGGUGGGAACUCUGGAGGAACUGCCGGUGACAAACCGGAGGAAGGUGGGGAUGACGUCAAAUCAUCAUGCCCUUUAUGUUCUGGGCUACACACGUGCUACAAUGGCCGGUACAGAGGGCGGCGAAGCCGCGAGGUGGAGCGAAUCCCAAAAAGCCGGUCUAAGUUCGGAUUGCAGGCUGCAACCCGCCUGCAUGAAGUCGGAAUCGCUAGUAAUCGCGAGUCAGCAUAUCGCGGUGAAUACGUUCCCGGGUCUUGUACACACCGCCCGUCA